UGACUAAGCCAUGAAAAUGUCAUGUAUGC
Molecule: non-coding RNA, 29 nt
Filed under: Homo sapiens (human)
Lineage: Eukaryota; Metazoa; Chordata; Mammalia; Primates; Hominidae
Source: RNAcentral